Molecule: ribosomal RNA, 672 nt
Filed under: Cortinarius cf. biformis group MLB-2010k
Lineage: Eukaryota; Fungi; Basidiomycota; Agaricomycetes; Agaricales; Cortinariaceae
Description: eukaryotic LSU rRNA
Rfam family: Eukaryotic large subunit ribosomal RNA
Source: RNAcentral
GUGACCUCAAAUCAGGUAGGACUACCCGCUGAACUUAAGCAUAUCAAUAAGCGGAGGAAAAGAAACUAACAAGGAUUCCCCUAGUAACUGCGAGUGAAGCGGGAAAAGCUCAAAUUUAAAAUCUGGCGGUCUUUGGCUGUCCGAGUUGUAAUCUAGAGAAGUGUUAUCCGCGCUGGACCGUGUACAAGUCUCCUGGAAUGGAGCAUCAUAGAGGGUGAGAAUCCCGUCUUUGACAUGGACUGCCAGGGCUUUGUGAUGCGCUCUCAAAGAGUCGAGUUGUUUGGGAAUGCAGCUCAAAAUGGGUGGUAAAUUCCAUCUAAAGCUAAAUAUUGGCGAGAGACCGAUAGCGAACAAGUACCGUGAGGGAAAGAUGAAAAGAACUUUGGAAAGAGAGUUAAACAGUACGUGAAAUUGCUGAAAGGGAAACGCUUGAAGUCAGUCGCGUCGUCCAGGGAUCAACCUUGCUUUUGCUUGGUGCACUUUCUGGUUCGAUGGGUCAGCAUCAAUUUUGACUGUUGGAAAAAGGUCAAGGGAAUGUGGCAUCUUUGGAUGUGUUUAUAGCCCUUGGUCACAUACAAUGGUUGGGAUUGAGGAACUCAGCACGCCGCAAGGCCGGGUUUUAAACCACGUACGUGCUUAGGAUGCUGGCAAUAUGGCUUUAAUCGACCCGUC